Molecule: ribosomal RNA, 518 nt
Filed under: Triticum aestivum (bread wheat)
Lineage: Eukaryota; Viridiplantae; Streptophyta; Magnoliopsida; Poales; Poaceae
Description: partial small subunit ribosomal RNA
Source: RNAcentral
GGGCUUAGGACUUUUAAAACGUGCGCGUGACGCACCACUCACACGAGGCUCGAUGAAUGAGCAGCUUCGCCGACUUCAGCAGCCCGAACUUUCCCUUGAGCAGGCCGGUAAGGUGUAAGAAGUUUUAGACGUUUCGUGCUGCCUGUUAAGCGUGUCGAGUUUCUGUACGGCCACGGUGCGGCGCGCGUGCCGCGUGAUCCUGAGAUCCUCCUUCGUCUCUUUCACAAUGCGUAUGCUUGGACAAGCUGUCCCCUUUGGGGGACGGAACCGGCGCGGCGCCGGUGCUUGCUCGCCCUGCCCCAUGGUGGCCUCCGGUACGCCCGCUCGACCAGCUGCUUUCGCCGCGGCUCCGGCUCCUUCUGCGCGGCGCGACGGACGCCACCGUGGCCUCGCGCUCAGGAUCGCGCCCUGGAAGAGUCUCGCUGCUCCUCCUCCAGCCCCGCACCGCGCUCCCACCGGUACCUGCACCUCUGCCCGUCUGCCGCCGCCAAUCCUCCCCCGGCGUUGGGCCACGGCGG